Molecule: unclassified non-coding RNA, 189 nt
Filed under: plant metagenome
Description: partial contains small subunit ribosomal RNA and internal transcribed spacer 1
Rfam family: Eukaryotic small subunit ribosomal RNA (bases 1-46)
Source: RNAcentral
AAGUCGUAACAAGGUUUCCGUAGGUGAACCUGCGGAAGGAUCAUUAAAGAAUUCGGCUUCGCGGCCAAGUUCUCACCCUUUGUAUACCGAAACUAUGUUGCUUUGGCAGCCUCUGCAUUUCCGGCCUGCAGGCUGCAUAAGUCAACCUAACGAAAUCUCUGCUGUCUGAGUACUAUGCAAUAGUUAAAA